This 1000-nucleotide ribosomal RNA is filed under the name uncultured organism. RNAcentral's name for it is "bacterial SSU rRNA". It matches the Rfam family "Bacterial small subunit ribosomal RNA", at positions 356 to 1376 of the family's 1533-position model. The record is from RNAcentral.
GGGGGAUAUUGCGCAAUGGGGGCAACCCUGACGCAGCAACGCCGCGUGAAGGAUGAAGGUUUUCGGAUUGUAAACUUCUUUUAUUAAGGACGAAACUUGACGGUACUUAAUGAAUAAGCUCCGGCUAACUACGUGCCAGCAGCCGCGGUAAUACGUAGGGAGCAAGCGUUGUCCGGAUUUACUGGGUGUAAAGGGUGCGUAGGCGGCUUUGCAAGUCAGAUGUGAAAUCUAUGGGCUCAACCCAUAAACUGCAUUUGAAACUGUAGAGCUUGAGUGAAGUAGAGGCAGGCGGAAUUCCCCGUGUAGCGGUGAAAUGCGUAGAGAUGGGGAGGAACACCAGUGGCGAAGGCGGCCUGCUGGGCUUUAACUGACGCUGAGGCACGAAAGCGUGGGUAGCAAACAGGAUUAGAUACCCUGGUAGUCCACGCUGUAAACGAUGAUUACUAGGUGUGGGGGGUCUGACCCCUUCCGUGCCGGAGUUAACACAAUAAGUAAUCCACCUGGGGAGUACGGCCGCAAGGUUGAAACUCAAAGGAAUUGACGGGGGCCCGCACAAGCAGUGGAGUAUGUGGUUUAAUUCGAAGCAACGCGAAGAACCUUACCAGGUCUUGACAUCCAACUAACGAAGUAGAGAUACAUUAGGUGCCCUUCGGGGAAAGUUGAGACAGGUGGUGCAUGGUUGUCGUCAGCUCGUGUCGUGAGAUGUUGGGUUAAGUCCCGCAACGAGCGCAACCCUUGCUAUUAGUUGCUACGCAAGAGCACUCUAAUAGGACUGCCGUUGACAAAACGGAGGAAGGUGGGGACGACGUCAAAUCAUCAUGCCCCUUAUGACCUGGGCUACACACGUACUACAAUGGAUGUUAACAGAGGGAAGCAAGACAGCGAUGUGGAGCAAACCCCUAAAAACAUUCUCAGUUCAGAUUGCAGGCCGCAACCCGCCUGCAUGAAGAUGGAAUUGCUAGUAAUCGCGGAUCAGCAUGCCGCGGUGAAUACGUUCCCG